UUGUAAGCAGCCGCGGUAAUACGAAGGGGGCUAGCGUUGUUCGGAAUUACUGGGCGUAAAGCGCACGUAGGCGGAUACUUAAGUCAGGGGUGAAAUCCCGGGGCUCAACCCCGGAACUGCCUUUGAUACUGGGUAUCUCGAGUCCGGAAGAGGUGAGUGGAAUUCCGAGUGUAGAGGUGAAAUUCGUAGAUAUUCGGAGGAACACCAGUGGCGAAGGCGGCUCACUGGUCCGGUACUGACGCUGAGGUGCGAAAGCGUGGGGAGCAAACAGGAUUAGAAACCCUAGUAGUCC
RNAcentral lists this ribosomal RNA (292 nucleotides) under uncultured bacterium. RNAcentral describes it as "partial 16S ribosomal RNA". It matches the Rfam family "Bacterial small subunit ribosomal RNA", at positions 503 to 796 of the family's 1533-position model. The record is from RNAcentral.